CCUACGGGAGGCAGCAGUGAGGAAUAUUGGUCAAUGGACGAGAGUCUGAACCAGCCAAGUAGCGUGAAGGAUGACUGCCCUAUGGGUUGUAAACUUCUUUUAUAUGGGAAUAAAAUGUUCCACGUGUGGGAUUUUGUAUGUACCAUAUGAAUAAGGAUGGGCUAACUCCGUGCCAGCAGCCGCGGUAAUACGGAGGAUCCGAGCGUUAUCCGGAUUUAUUGGGUUUAAAGGGAGCGUAGGUGGAUUGUUAAGUCAGUUGUGAAAGUUUGCGGCUCAACCGUAAAAUUGCAGUUGAAACUGGCAGUCUUGAGUACAGGAGAGGUGGGCGGAAUUCGUGGUGUAGCGGUGAAAUGCUUAGAUAUCACGAAGAACUCCGAUUGCGAAGGCAGUUCACUGGACUGCAACUGACACUGAGGCUCGAAAGUGUGGGUAUCAAACAGGAUUAGAUACCCUUGUAGUC
Molecule: ribosomal RNA, 460 nt
Filed under: uncultured bacterium
Lineage: Bacteria
Description: partial 16S ribosomal RNA
Rfam family: Bacterial small subunit ribosomal RNA
Source: RNAcentral